UACGUAGGGUGCGAGCGUUGUCCGGAAUUAUUGGGCGUAAAGGGCUCGUAGGCGGUUUGUCGCGUCGGGAGUGAAAACGCCGUGCUUAACACGGCGCUUGCUUUCGAUACGGGCAGACUAGAGGUAUUCAGGGGAGAACGGAAUUCCUAGUGUAGCGGUGAAAUGCGCAGAUAUCAGGAGGAACACCGGUGGCGAAGGCGGUUCUCUGGGAAUGACCUGACGCUGAGGAGCGAAAGUGUGGGGAGCGAACAGG
RNAcentral lists this ribosomal RNA (253 nucleotides) under uncultured bacterium. Its description in RNAcentral is "partial 16S ribosomal RNA". It matches the Rfam family "Bacterial small subunit ribosomal RNA", at positions 524 to 776 of the family's 1533-position model. The record is from RNAcentral.